GAUGAAGAACGUAGCAAAAUGUGAUACUUGGUGUGAAUUGCAGAAUCCCGUGAACCAUCGAGUUUUUGAACGCAAGUUGCGCCCGAAGCCUUUUGGCCGAGGGCACGUCUGCCUGGGCGUCACGCAUCGCGUCGCCCCCCACAAUUCUCCGUAAAGGGAACGUGUGUUUUGGGGGCGGAUAUUGGUCUCCCGUGCUCAUGGCGUGGUUGGCCGAAAUAGGAGUCCUUUCGAUGGACGCACGAACUAGUGGUGGUCGUAAAAACCCUCGUCUUUUGUUUCGUGCUGUUGCUCGCAAGGUAAACUCUUUAAAAACCCCAAUGUGUCGUCUCUUGACGACGCUUCGACCGCGACCCCAGGUCAGGCGGGACUACCCGCUGAGUUUAAGCAUAUCAAUAGCGGAGGA
RNAcentral lists this unclassified non-coding RNA (403 nucleotides) under soil metagenome. Its description in RNAcentral is "partial contains 5.8S ribosomal RNA, internal transcribed spacer 2, and large subunit ribosomal RNA". The stretch from base 1 to 122 matches the Rfam family "5.8S ribosomal RNA", at positions 35 to 154 of the family's 154-position model. The record is from RNAcentral.